AUACGUAGGGGGCGCGCGUUGUCCGGAAUGAUUGGGCAUAAAGGGCGCGUAGGCGGCCCGGUAAGUCUGGAGUGAAAGUCCUGUUUUUAAGCUGGGAAUUGCUUUGGAUACUGUCGGGCUUGAGUGCAGGAGAGGUAAGUGGAAUUCCCCGUGUAGCGGUGAAAGGCGUAGAGAUUGGGAGGAACACCAGCGGCGAAGGCGACUUACUGGACUGUAACUGACGCUGAGGCGCGAAAGUGUGGGGAGCAAACAGGAUUAGAUACCCUGGUAGUCCACACUGUAAACGAUGAAUGCUAGGUGUAGGGGGUAUCGACCCCUUCUGUGCCGCAGUCAACACAAUAAGCAUUCCGCCUGGGGAGUACGGCCGCAAGGUUGAAACUAAAAGGAAUUGACGGG
Molecule: ribosomal RNA, 396 nt
Filed under: uncultured bacterium
Lineage: Bacteria
Description: partial 16S ribosomal RNA
Rfam family: Bacterial small subunit ribosomal RNA
Source: RNAcentral